RNAcentral lists this ribosomal RNA (495 nucleotides) under uncultured bacterium. RNAcentral's name for it is "partial 16S ribosomal RNA". It matches the Rfam family "Bacterial small subunit ribosomal RNA", at positions 28 to 507 of the family's 1533-position model. The record is from RNAcentral.
GACGAACGCUGGCGGCGUGCCUAAUACAUGCAAGUCGAACGCUGAAGGAGGAGCUUGCUUCUCCGGAUGAGUUGCGAACGGGUGAGUAACGCGUAGGUAACCUGCCUGGUAGCGGGGGAUAACUAUUGGAAACGAUAGCUAAUACCGCAUAACAGUAGAUGUUGCAUGACAUUUGCUUAAAAGGUGCAAUUGCAUCACUACCAGAUGGACCUGCGUUGUAUUAGCUAGUUGGUGAGGUAACGGCUCACCAAGGCGACGAUACAUAGCCGACCUGAGAGGGUGAUCGGCCACACUGGGACUGAGACACGGCCCAGACUCCUACGGGAGGCAGCAGUAGGGAAUCUUCGGCAAUGGACGGAAGUCUGACCGAGCAACGCCGCGUGAGGGAAGAAGGUUUUCGGAUCGUAAAGCUCUGUUGUAAGAGAAGAACGAGUGUGAGAGUGGAAAGUUCACACUGUGACGGUAUCUUACCAGAAAGGGACGGCUAACUACGUG